AUACGAAAGGUGCAAGCGUUGUUCGGAUUUACUGGGCGUAAAGAGAGUGUAGGUGGUUUAUUAAGUCGGAUGUGAAAUCCCGGGGCUCAACCUCGGAACUGCAUUCGAUACUGAUAGGCUAGAGUUUGGGAGGGGUAAGCGGAAUUCCGUGUGUAGCAGUGAAAUGCGUAGAUAUACGGAGGAACACCUGAGGCGAAGGCGGCUUACUGGACCAAUACUGACACUGAGACUCGAAAGCGUGGGUAGCAAGCAGGAUUAGAAACCCCAGUAGUCC
Molecule: ribosomal RNA, 274 nt
Filed under: uncultured bacterium
Lineage: Bacteria
Description: partial 16S ribosomal RNA
Rfam family: Bacterial small subunit ribosomal RNA
Source: RNAcentral